UUAACACAUGCAAGUCGAGCGAUGAAGCACCUUCGGGUGUGAAUUAGCGGCGAACGGGUGAGGAACACGUGAAGAAUCUGCCUUCAACUCUGGGAUAACUCCGGGAAACCGGGGCUAAUACCGGAUAUGAGCCUUGAUCGCAUGAUCGGGGCUGGAAAGUUUUUCGGUUGAAGAUGACUUCGCGGCCUAUCAGCUUGUUGGUGAGGUAAUGGCUCACCAAGGCGACGACGGGUAGCCGGCCUGAGAGGGCGACCGGCCACACUGGGACUGAGACACGGCCCAGACUCCUACGGGAGGCAGCAGUGGGGAAUAUUGGGCAAUGGAGGAAACUCUGACCCAGCGACGCCGCGUGCGGGAUGAAGGCCUUCGGGUUGUAAACCGCUUUCAGCAGGGAAGAAGCGAAAGUGACGGUACCUGCAGAAGAAGCACCGGCUAACUAUGUGCCAGCAGCCGCGGUAAUACAUAGGGUGCAAGCGUUGUCCGGAAUUAUUGGGCGUAAAGAGCUCGUAGGUGGUUUGUCACGUCGGAUGUGAAACUCUGGGGCUUAACCCCAGACCUGCAUUCGAUACGGGCGAGCUUGAGUAUGGUAGGGGAGUCUGGAAUUCCUGGUGUAGCGGUGGAAUGCGCAGAUAUCAGGAGGAACACCAAUGGCGAAGGCAGGACUCUGGGCCAUUACUGACACUGAGGAGCGAAAGCGUGGGGAGCGAACAGGAUUAGAUACCCUGGUAGUCCACGCCGUAAACGGUGGGCACUAGUUGUGGGGACCUUCCACGGUCUCUGCGACGCAGCUAACGCAUUAAGUGCCCCGCCUGGGGAGUACGAUCGCAAGAUUAAAACUCAAAGGAAUUGACGG
Molecule: ribosomal RNA, 853 nt
Filed under: uncultured bacterium
Lineage: Bacteria
Description: bacterial SSU rRNA
Rfam family: Bacterial small subunit ribosomal RNA
Source: RNAcentral